Molecule: ribosomal RNA, 464 nt
Filed under: uncultured Klebsiella sp.
Lineage: Bacteria; Pseudomonadati; Pseudomonadota; Gammaproteobacteria; Enterobacterales; Enterobacteriaceae
Description: bacterial SSU rRNA
Rfam family: Bacterial small subunit ribosomal RNA
Source: RNAcentral
CCUACGGGCGGCUGCAGUGGGGAAUAUUGCACAAUGGGCGCAAGCCUGAUGCAGCCAUGCCGCGUGUGUGAAGAAGGCCUUCGGGUUGUAAAGCACUUUCAGCGGGGAGGAAGGCGGUGAGGUUAAUAACCUCAUCGAUUGACGUUACCCGCAGAAGAAGCACCGGCUAACUCCGUGCCAGCAGCCGCGGUAAUACGGAGGGUGCAAGCGUUAAUCGGAAUUACUGGGCGUAAAGCGCACGCAGGCGGUCUGUCAAGUCGGAUGUGAAAUCCCCGGGCUCAACCUGGGAACUGCAUUCGAACUGGCAGGCUAGAGUCUUGUAGAGGGGGGUAGAAUUCCAGGUGUAGCGGUGAAAUGCGUAGAGAUCUGGAGGAAUACCGGUGGCGAAGGCGGCCCCCUGGACAAAGACUGACGCUCAGGCGCGAAAGCGUGGGGAGCAAACAGGAUUAUAUACCCCGGUAGUC